UCGGGAAUUUUGGGCAAUGGGCGAAAGCCUGACCCAGCAACGCCGCGUGAAGGAUGAAGUAUUUCGGUAUGUAAACUUCGAAAGAAUAGGAAGAAUAAAUGACGGUACUAUUUAUAAGGUCCGGCUAACUACGUGCCAGCAGCCGCGGUAAUACGUAGGGACCAAGCGUUGUUCGGAUUUACUGGGCGUAAAGGGCGCGUAGGCGGCAAUUCAAGUCAUCUGUGAAAUCUCCGGGCUUAACUCGGAACGGUCAGAUGAUACUGCUUUGCUAGAGUGCAGAAGGGGCAAUCGGAAUUCUUGGUGUAGCGGUGAAAUGCGUAGAUAUCAAGAGGAACACCUGAGGUGAAGACGGGUUGCUGGGCUGACACUGACGCUGAGGCGCGAAAGCC
This 389-nucleotide ribosomal RNA is filed under the name uncultured bacterium. RNAcentral's name for it is "bacterial SSU rRNA". It matches the Rfam family "Bacterial small subunit ribosomal RNA", at positions 355 to 761 of the family's 1533-position model. The record is from RNAcentral.